Molecule: long non-coding RNA, 1130 nt
Filed under: Canis lupus dingo (dingo)
Lineage: Eukaryota; Metazoa; Chordata; Mammalia; Carnivora; Canidae
Description: lncRNA (ENSCAFG00020008148.1)
Source: RNAcentral
AGAGGGACAUGCCCAUUGGUGUCUCCCGCAUGUCCCCCCCAUCCCUGUUCCCUGACCCAGGGUUCAGCUGCCCACACAGGACCCCUGUAGGAGUGCUCAGUCCCUGCAGAACGGCUGACAUAGGCUCCCUGCCCUGGAGCCCGGCCACCCAUCCAUGUGGGCCCCCCCCCACCACGACACCCAGGAUCGUGCUACAGGCCCCCAAGAUGCUGCUGCCUGGCUCCGGGCCCUGUGGCCUCCUGGGUGGUCAGGCUCCUGUGAGGGUGCCCCGUGCCCCUCUGGGGGUGCACUAGGGAGCCUGCCUAUGCCCUGUGCCCUCCUCCUGAGGGUGCCAACUCCCCACCCAGGGCCUCCUGCCCCACCUGUGGCGACUCAGCGAAGCCCUCCCUCCUCUGGGGCUAGCGCGCCUGACAUGGUCACCCACCAUCCCCAGUGAGGGGGGCCUGGCUGCAGCCUGGCAGUGCCCCGGCUGGGGCGGUGGGUGGGGGGGAGAGUGGAGAAGACACUGGGGACUGAGCACCCAUAUCCCCCACCUGAGCCACCGUGGCCACUCGGCCCUCUCCAUCCCUCCUGGGCCAGGCACACAGGGCCCCAGGAAGCACCUGCCGUUGCCCUGGGUGAAGUAGUGCAGGUGGGGGAGCUGCAUGUGCAAGGAGGCUCAAGGGCCUGGGCGCGGUGGCCUGGGCGCGGCUGGGUGACGGUCCCCCCCCAUGGUGCUGACUCGCUCACAGCAGCACUGUCCACCUCCACCCCUGCCGUCCAGCAAGGCCAGAGACUCCUGGAGGCCCCUUGGGGCCAGGGAGGCCACCCCCACUGGGCAGCCCUGCCCGAUUACAAAUGACAAUGUCACCAGCGCUGGUCAGAGGCUUUCCGGGUGCUGUGCUUCGUCGUUUGUAGCACCCGGCAGCCAGGGAAGCACGGGAGCAGGCACACAGGUGGGUGUCACAGGGCCACUGAGGCUGGGAGCAGGAAAGCCCCCCGGAGGGGAGGGACCAUUCCCGUCACCCACCCCUGCCCAUCCGCUCACGUCGCAGCGUCUGGAAGGCUCUGCACACGUGCUCUUCUGCUCCUCGAAGGUCUUCGGAGGCUGCGAGCUGACUGCACAUAAAGUCAAAAAUCCAGGAUAUUAA